This 427-nucleotide ribosomal RNA is filed under the name uncultured bacterium. RNAcentral describes it as "bacterial SSU rRNA". It matches the Rfam family "Bacterial small subunit ribosomal RNA", at positions 355 to 774 of the family's 1533-position model. The record is from RNAcentral.
UAGGGAAUAUUGGACAAUGGGGGCAACCCUGAUCCAGCCAUGCCGCGUGAGUGAAGAAGGCCCUCGGGUUGUAAAGCUCUUUUGUCCGGAAAGAAAAGCAUUCGGUGAAUACCCGGAUGUUCUGACGGUACCGGAAGAAUAAGCACCGGCUAACUACGUGCCAGCAGCCGCGGUAAUACGUAGGGUGCGAGCGUUAAUCGGAAUUACUGGGCGUAAAGCGUGCGCAGGCGGCUUUGUAAGACAGAUGUGAAAUCCCCGGGCUCAACCUGGGAACUGCAUUUGUGACUGCAAGGCUAGAGUGCGUCAGAGGGAGGUGGAAUUCCGCGUGUAGCAGUGAAAUGCGUAGAGAUCGGGAGGAACAUCUGUGGCGAAGGCGACUGCCUGGACCAGCACUGACACUGAGGCACGAAAGCGUGGGGAGCAAACA